This 467-nucleotide ribosomal RNA is filed under the name uncultured bacterium. RNAcentral's name for it is "partial 16S ribosomal RNA". It matches the Rfam family "Bacterial small subunit ribosomal RNA", at positions 29 to 507 of the family's 1533-position model. The record is from RNAcentral.
ACGAACGCUGGCGGCGUGCUUAACCCCUGCGAGUCGAACGGAAAGGCCCUGCUUUUGUGGGGUGCUCGAGUGGCGAACGGGUGAGUAACACGUGAGUAACCUGCCCUUGACUUUGGGAUAACUUCAGGAAACUGGGGCUAAUACCGGAUAGGAGCUCCUGCUGCAUGGUGGGGGUUGGAAAGUUUCGGCGGUUGGGGAUGGACUCGCGGCUUAUCAGCUUGUUGGUGGGGUAGUGGCUUACCAAGGCUUUGACGGGUAGCCGGCCUGAGAGGGUGACCGGCCACAUUGGGACUGAGAUACGGCCCAGACUCCUACGGGAGGCAGCAGUGGGGAAUAUUGCACAAUGGGCGGAAGCCUGAUGCAGCAACGCCGCGUGCGGGAUGACGGCCUUCGGGUUGUAAACCGCUUUCGCCUGUGACGAAGCGUGAGUGACGGUAAUGGGUAAAGAAGCACCGGCUAACUACGUG